Delphinapterus leucas (beluga whale) is the source of this 335-nucleotide long non-coding RNA. RefSeq lists it as uncharacterized. NCBI's taxonomy places the organism in Eukaryota, Metazoa, Chordata, Mammalia, Artiodactyla, Monodontidae. The record is from RefSeq and is a predicted model, not a curated record.
CUACUGAGCAUGCCCGGCACGGCGACAGCUGCCAAACUAAAGGACUUUAAGCUGCGGUUAAGCACUGAUUUCCCUUCCUAGGGGCCUAGCGUGAAAUGGGAGGGAACUAGCCAGGAGAGAGGAGGUGUAGCCCAUUUUACAGAUGGGGACACUGAGGCCCGGCAGGAUUCACGUAUGGUAAACUACCCAAGGACAGCAGAGAAGAGGGAAUACAUGCUCCCAGACAGGAUGGGCAAGGAGUCCUAAGCUCUAGGACCUAUGCCAGUGCCUGGAACAGAGUAGGCAUCCAGAAAUGAACAUCGAUCCCCCAGGCAGAUCAUACCUGUAGAAAGGUA